GAGGAGAGAGAAAGGUCUGUUUACAGUAGUAGCCGUGGAGGAGGAGAGAAAGGUCUGUUUACAGCAGUAGCCCUGGAGGAGAGGAGAGAAAGGUCUGUUUACAGCAGUAGCCCUGGAGGAGAGGAGAGAAAGGUCUGUUUACAGCAGUAGCCCUAGAGGAGGAGAGAAAGGUCUGUUUACAGUAGUAGCCGUGGAGGAGAGGAGAGAAAGGUCUGUUUACAGUAGUAGCCGUGGAGGAGGAGAGAAAGGUCUGUUUACAGUAGUAGCCGUGGAGGAGGAGAGAAAGGUCUGUUUACAGCAGUAGCCCUGGAGGAGAGGAGAGAAAUGUCUGUUUACAGCAGUAGUCAUGGA
Molecule: long non-coding RNA, 351 nt
Organism: Oncorhynchus tshawytscha (Chinook salmon)
Lineage: Eukaryota; Metazoa; Chordata; Actinopteri; Salmoniformes; Salmonidae
Source: Ensembl